UGAUGCUUCCCCGCGCCUACACCGGUCUGUAUGUCAGGGAAGGACUGUCUCUACAUGUGGUUGUGUGAUUGCCUGAGUGAAGGAAGUGUGUGUCUGUGUGUUUGUAUGGUGUGUGAUCUGUACUCUUGGGCCUGUUGUGCACACACGCUGGUAUGGUAGAAAGAUAUUCUGUGCCUCAGCUGUAAACAAGUAGAAACCAAAUCCUGUGGUUUUGUGGUGUAGCCUGUGUUUGUUCGCAUGUGCAGACCUGCGAGGGCCGUGGCUAUUAUUUGGAACAACUGUAUAUGCAGCCCAGUUUGUGAAAAAGAGAGAGAGAGAAAGAUACAGCCAGAGUGUGUUUUGUCCGUGUGACUUUGUGAUUGUGUUGUGUUGAGAAAGAGAAAUUAAUGCGGGUUAAUUUCUGGGAUAAGUGGAUGGUUAGGAGAAACAGACAUUCCAGAGAACAUGGGAGUUGGGACACUGAAGGAUGUGUAAGAGUUCAUCCUGGGCACAGUGUGCCAGGAGCCAAAUGAGACCAUGGAACCUGGGCAGUGUAUGUGGCCACCUGGUGGGCAGGGAGGGGGCUGGGGAAAUAACUCUCCUGUUUCCGUUCAACAGCCUUCUGAAUUCUCCAGCUUGGAGGGAAGCAGACAGGGAGGGGGGCCACUUGCCAGAAUUCACAAAGUUUGUUGAGUGCCACGGAUUGAAAGAAGGGAGAGGUGGGCCCUGCCCUGAAGGUGCCCAGAUCUUCUCUGGACUGAAGCAUGUUCCGAAAAGAAGAGAAGAAAGGUCAGGUAUCCUGACCGCAGUUCUUUCGCUCGCAUGAUGGGCAUCCUGGAUUGCUGUAUCAGUGAGGCAGGAGCUGGGCUGAGUACUGGAGAUGUACAACAGUGAACACGACAGGAUCCUGACCCUUCCAGAAAACCGAGGAGAAAGGGCGUGGCUUUUCCACUUCUGAAGGGGACACACCGGCAGGGGAGGCGCAUACCCAGAGGCAGACCCUGCUCUGGCGGCAGAACCAGGACUAGAACUGAGGACUUCCAGCACUCGAGCUGUCUUCUCUGUUCCAUCCCACAGGCUGCCUGGGAAAGACAGGCCCUGGUCUUCAUGCUGCUCGGGGCACAGCAGGGAGAAGAUGUGCUGCCCAUUCUGACCCUCACCCCCAGCUCCUCGGGGGUCCCCAGUAUUCCCCUCCCCAAACAGCCUCAUGGGAACAAAUCUGUUCUACAGAUACCAUGAUUCCCACCCCGGCCCCAUGUUACAGGUGAGGAAAGUGAACGUUCAGAGAGGGAAAGUGACUCCCCCAAGGUGACACAGCGAGCCUAGGAGGACUUGCUCCUUCGUUCUGGCGCCAUACUGCUUCUGUUGGCCUUUGUGGGCUCGCUGUGCUGACAGAAACGUGGGCAGUUGUGUGGCAGGAGAACCCGAUUCCCUUGUCAGGCUCCUAUAGACUGGAUGUUGAGGAUGCUUCUGCCAAACACUCAGGUUUCUGGGUACAGUAGUCAGAGCAUCAGGGCUCGAACUGGCAGAAAACCUACCUUAAAAUGGUAAGGACAGGGUCGAGCAAGCUCUAGGCAUGGCUGCACUGAGGAGCUCAGAUGAUGUCGUCAGGAUUCAGGGUCAGUCUCUUGGUCCCUCAAGAUUCUUUCCCUCCCUACUGAUCUCAUUCUCUGGCAGGCUCUCCUCCUAAUCACAAAGUGGCUGCCAGCAGCUCUAGCCAUGCGUCCUAAUCUCCCACAGCUCCAGCAGAAACAGAGACUCUUUUCCCAACUGUUCUAACAGCAUUCGCCAAACCAAGUCUCAUUGGCUGUUACUGAAAUAUGUAUCCAUUCCUUGGCCAGUCAGUGUGACCAAGGGUUCUGAUUGGCCAGGCCACCGAGCCUGAGGGUCUCAGAGGUACCUGGUGUUUGAAGUCCAUGUGGGUCUAGCUAUCCCAGCCUCAGGACUCAGCAAGAUCCAAGUGUGAAAAGUGAAAGUGAAAGUUGAUCAGUCGUGUCCGACUCUUUACAACCCCAUGGACUAUGCAUGGAAUUCUCCAGGCCAGAAUACUGGAGUGGAUAGCCAUUUCCUUCACCAGGGGAUCUUCCCAAUGCAGGUCCAAGAAGAAUCCUCCAGAAUUUGUAGAGAGGCUUAUAUUUCAUAGGCCUUCAAUAAAUGGCAACAGUUUUUAUUGGUAUUCUUCCUC
This 2164-nucleotide long non-coding RNA is filed under the name Bos mutus (wild yak). RNAcentral's name for it is "lncRNA (ENSBMUG00000021707.1)". Lineage: Eukaryota; Metazoa; Chordata; Mammalia; Artiodactyla; Bovidae. The record is from RNAcentral.